GUAAUACCAACCCUCCAACCCCUCUACAAAGGAAGAGGGGUCUAGGAAUGCCUCCCCCUGACUCCGUCCUUGAAAGAGCCUUGGAGAGUGGAGCCUCAGAAUCCUGCAGUCUGCUGCCUGUUUUAAUCAGUGUUUCUGAGGGCAAGGAAGCCACAGACGUCCUCUACCCUCAAGCCAGGCAGUCACCACAAUUGGAGUGGCAAGACUGAGAACCAACACCAGAGUGGACGAAGAACAUCUGAGAAUCCUUGUGGGGACCAGUAAUGCAAAGAUCUGUUGUCUCCUACUUGACAACCUCUGCCAUAGUACCUGGCACAUAGAAGCUGCUCAAGAAAUGGUUGAUUUGAGUAACAGUUGAAAAAGCUUAUUUCACUCAACCUAGAUGACAAGUAUAUGGAUACGUGUAUAUAUCAUUAAAUGAGCUAAUGCCAUAAAA
This is a long non-coding RNA of Pteronotus mesoamericanus, 436 nucleotides long. RefSeq lists it as uncharacterized. The record is from RefSeq and is a predicted model, not a curated record. The transcript has 2 exons. NCBI's taxonomy places the organism in Eukaryota, Metazoa, Chordata, Mammalia, Chiroptera, Mormoopidae.